Molecule: non-coding RNA, 30 nt
Filed under: Mus musculus (house mouse)
Lineage: Eukaryota; Metazoa; Chordata; Mammalia; Rodentia; Muridae
Source: RNAcentral
UGCCUAUUCACAAAGUGACAAUUUAAGAGC